Molecule: ribosomal RNA, 429 nt
Filed under: uncultured bacterium
Lineage: Bacteria
Description: bacterial SSU rRNA
Rfam family: Bacterial small subunit ribosomal RNA
Source: RNAcentral
UGGGGGAUCUUCCGCAACGGGCGAAAGCCUGACGGAGCAACGCCGCGUGAGUGAUGACGGCCUUCGGGUUGUAAAACUCUGUUUUUCGGGACGAAUAAUAUCUGUGUAAAUAAUGCAGAUAGUUGACGGUACCGAAGGAGGAAGCCACGGCUAACUACGUGCCAGCAGCCGCGGUAAUACGUAGGUGGCAAGCGUUGUCCGGAAUUAUUGGGCGUAAAGGGCGUGUAGGCGGGAUAUUAAGUCUGUUGUAAAAAUGCGGAGCUCAACUCCGUAGAGCGAUGGAAACUGGUAUUCUUGAGGGCAGGAGAGGAAAGCGGAAUUCCCAGUGUAGCGGUGAAAUGCGUAGAUAUUGGGAAGAACACCAGUGGCGAAGGCGGCUUUCUGGACUGUAACUGACGCUGAGGCGCGAAAGCUAGGGGAGCGAACGGG